UACGUAGGUGGCAAGCGUUGUCCGGAUUUACUGGGCGUAAAGCGCGCGCAGGCGGUGUGUCACGUCGUUCGUGAAAACCUGCAGCUUAACUGUGGGCGUGCGGUCGAUACGGGCAUCACUGGAGUUCGGCAGGGGAGACUGGAAUUCCCGGUGUAGCGGUGAAAUGCGUAGAGAUCCGGAAGAACACCGGUGGCGAAGGCGGUCUGCUGGGGUCGAACUGACGCUGAGGCGCGACAGCGUGGGGAGCAAACAGG
Molecule: ribosomal RNA, 254 nt
Filed under: uncultured bacterium
Lineage: Bacteria
Description: partial 16S ribosomal RNA
Rfam family: Bacterial small subunit ribosomal RNA
Source: RNAcentral